CCAGUCAGAUUCAUCCUCCUCCGGGGCAGUUCUUCGCGGGGAUCCGAACCAAACCAUUCCCCAGGACAGGGCAGGCGCGGGUGAGUGAUGCGCAGGGACCUAGACAAUGAACUCAUCUCUGCCUGCUCCAUGGAGGGUGCUGCCCCGGGACACAGCGGUGGCGCUACCCAAGCCAGAAUCUGAGGCGAGCAAGGACUGUCUGUACAGGGGCAUCAUUGCUCAAUGGAUGCAGCCUCCAUCCCCCUGCGGGACCAGCCGGCAUCUCUGCUACAGGUCUUGUCCUGCAGAAAGACUUGCUGAGGGCACAAAGUGGGGAAGUUGUUUCCUGGGAGCAUGCUAGUCUCUGCCUGAAAGCAUGAACUCAGGUCUUUGUGACUUCUGCCUGCUUCUUGGCCCUCUCCAUGGACGGCUUCAACCAAUCUUUCUCAGCUGGGGGCUGCAGCUACCCCAGGCUGCCUUGAGAUCCUUUGGGAGCAGGGGAUGUAGGAGGUGGAGGGCAGUAGUGCACUGGGUCAUAUACCUGGUGAAAAUAUAGCCAUGUGCAUUAUCCAUUACAUCCUUUCCCCUUUAGUUUCAAAAAGCAGUAGGAGGAUUUAACUUCAUUAGUAUUAAAAAUACCCAUCUUCGCUCUCAGUUGGGCAAGGUAUUGAGCAUCAAACCUUAAGCAUAUGAGUAAUCCAUCUGCUGACCAGCUUAAUAAGCACAGGCUGAAGUUCUUGACUGAAUCAAGAGAUUUAGUUUAUGUUGCCUGUUCUGCAUUUUUAGGCAGAAAAGGAUUGUGGAGGAAAAUGCUCUUAGGAAAAUAAUUUAUCUGGGGCAUAUUCUGUUUGAUAGUGUCAUACCCGGAACUUCAGCUGGGCUAUCAUAACAACGGCGUGCCACAGAAAGAAACUGAAAACACUUGUAGUUAGAAAUCUUUCACAGCCUAUUACUCAAGAUCUGGAAUGAGUUUGGGUAUAGUGUGAAAGGCUCUUCUCUGUUAUUUUUUACUAUCCUUUAUCAGUUAUUUCACACUUAAAGCAUGUGACUGUUAGAUGGUAUAUGUACACCUUAGCAUCUCUAGAAUCAAAACAAAUAUGAUUGAUAAUGGACUCAGGGACCCUUAAAUAAUGUAUUUCUAAAGAAAAGGGUGUGGCAAAGAGGCAUAGCAGAAGGGAACUCUCCUUUCCAUGAAUGGCACUUGUUGCCUGCCUCUGACCAAAAAUAUGCACUGCGUUCAUACUGGAAAUACUAGCUGCAGCAGUGAUACACAGCAAACUAUUAUUGGUUCACUGGCAAAAUAGGGAGGGUAUUUCAAGGGAGGGCAUUAGAGAGUCUAUCUUGGACAUACCUCAUUCAAUGUUUUGAUUAAUGACAUGGAUGAGGGAAUAGAGAGAAUACUUACAAAAAUUACAGAUCUCAAAAAGCUGUGAGAGGAUGCAAGAGCAUUGGAGGACAGCAUUAAAAUUCAAAUGGACCUUGGUAAACUGGAGAAAUAGUCCUAAUGACAAGAAGGUAUUUGGUGAAGGCAAAGGCAAAGAGCUAUGCUUUGGAAGGAGAAAUCAAAUGCACCCAGAAAACAUGAGGAACUACAAGCGAGGCAGAAGUACUGGAGGAAAGGAUACGAGGGUUAUAGUGGAUCACAAACUGAACGCAAGCCAACAGGGUAAUGCUGCUGCAAGAAAAGGCAACGCUGAUUCUAGGAGUACUGUCUGUGAGGCAUGGGACAAUGUUAUGCCGCUUCAUUCAGCACUGGUGAGGCUUCAGUUGGGGUACCAUGUCCAGUUUUGGCUACUUCACUUUUAGAAAGAUGUGAAGAAACAUGAGGAGGACAACUUGUGUGAUAAGAGGUUUGAAAAUAACUGAUCAAUGAGGAAGAGUUAAAGGAACUUUUUUGUUUUCUAGAAAAGAGAAGACUGAGGGCUAAGGAAGAUUAUAGUAAACUUCCAAUAAAUAAAAGGUUGUUAUAAAGCAGAAAGUGAUGGGAGGUUCUCCAAGCCUGUUGGAGGUAGGAUGAAAAGUAAGCAUUUUAAUUUAGUUUAGCAAGUAAGAUGCAGGUUAGAUAUUAGAGGAAACUUUCUAACUAGAUGGGUAGUGAAGUCUUGGAACACUGUUUCAGGAGGCUGGGAGGUCUUAUUAUUGGAGGAUUUUAAUAACGGGUUAGAUGCACAUCUCUUAGAUAUAAUUUACAUAUACUUGAUGCUACCUCAGUGCUGUUAUGGUUAAGAAAUGCCAUUUACUGGGUCAGACCAGUGGUUGGCAGCCUCUGGCCCAGAGGUUGGAUUUGGCCCGCAGAACCAUUAGAUCCAUACUAUGGAUGUGGGGCUUUGGUGGUGGGAAACUUGCUGUGGGAGUACUGGUGCCACCAUAGGGAAUGAGCAGUGCCUGCCUGCCCGCCCACCCACCUCAAGCCCUGGGCCCACAGCUGGAGGAGGUUGUCUACCCUUAGAUCAGGCCAUAGGUUCAUAAGGCUGGAUCAUAUGGUUGAAAAAGGCUAUUUGAUUAUAUUAUCUACAUCAAGGCCAAAUUCUGCUGUUAUGAGACACUACUUGAGCCACUUGGAGUUUUAAGGAAUGUGUCUGUUUAGAGAUUGCUUUUGGACCUAGCUUUGUUAAGAUCUUUUACCUAGUCAGACAGAGGAGAGUUUUAUAACUGGGUUUGAUGAGAAUAUUGCAGAUGAUUAAGUAUUUGCAGGUUUGGGCCUAAAUUUGCUUAAAUAUUGGUUAAGAUGGUGAUGCAAUGCCAUGCUAUUUAGCAGCAGUAUAAAUAUUCUAUUUAAUUCUUUAAAGCUCACUUAAUUUUUAUUUUGCUUAUCUUGUGGCAAUCUGACUGAAUAUUGGUCUGACAUAGUAUAGUUGAUCUAUUUUUUUUUUUAAUGAUUGUAAAUGUAAUUUGCUGCUGCUUUAAUAUUUAAGCGAGCAAUAAUAUCAAAAAGGCUUAUUGCUCCCAAGAAAAAGAUUAAAGGAUAUAACUGUU
Molecule: long non-coding RNA, 2955 nt
Organism: Alligator mississippiensis (American alligator)
Lineage: Eukaryota; Metazoa; Chordata; Crocodylia; Alligatoridae
Exons: 2
Source: RefSeq, a predicted model, not a curated record